GUGCGGUGCUCUGCCGUGGGGGCAGUGGGGCUGAGAAGGCCAAGAAGGAGAGGGGAUAUGGCAAUACCCGGCUCCAUCCAAGAUGGAGGGCCGGGCCAUGAGCUCUUGCUGUUCCCAGGUCUCACUCUUCCUGAGCCCAGCGGUUGGCCCUUUCCUUGUGUGGCUCAUAUGACUAAUGAGGAAACUGAGGCAAACAGGAUGAAGUGACUUGCCCAGGUCACACGGCUAGUCAGUGGCUGAGGAUGCCCAAGAAAGGGAAGAGGCGGUGGGCUCUCUGGGUGGAAGGGGCAUGCAGGGGGUGCUGAGAGAAGGUGAAGAGGAAUGGGGAAAGGCUUCCUGCAGUCCAAGGAGGCGGGAAGCUAGAGAGCAGCGAGGAGGAAGAGAGCCUGAGCCGGGCAAAGGGCAGUGAGGAGGCCAGCGGCAGGCUGGCGGGGGAGCAAAGAAGCCCUGAACGCCCAGCGCAGGGCUCGAGCCUUGCUCCUCCAGGUUUCAGGGCCGGGCCGGGCUUUCCGGAGCUCCCUUGGCCAGCUGAAUGGAAGAUGGCGCAGGGUGCAUUCGAGGCCGGAGCCGCCAUGUUGGAUUGGGAGGCUGCCAGGCGGUGGGAAGGCCGCCUGGGACCGGAUGGAGGCUGUCUGGGAAGCUCUUGGAGACGGCCUCAGGGGCAUCAGCUGCGGAGGCGGAGGGCGGGCCUGGAGCUCGAGGCAAGGAGCCUCGGCCUAGCCUUGGAACGCCUCGGCUUCGCCUGGCCCCCCCGGCUCUGCUCCCACAGCCUUGGCGUCCCCCGGAGCCGCGGGAGGCACCUUUCCCGCAGCUGUCUCUGGGGGCCCAGGUGAGAGCGACGGAAGGUAGGAGGGAGCGGCGGAGGGCGUUGCUGGGCCAGCGGAAGGAUUUCUCCCUGAGGGAGGGGAGCUGCGGCUUCGGGGGUUCUUUAAGGGCUGGAGAGGGGCAGCCGCUUAGCGAGGAGCUGGGGCAGAAUUUGAAUUCAGCCCUCACUGCCAGACAAUCCAGGGGGCGGAACAGGAGAGUAUGAGGAAGGAGAACGGCCCCAGGGGCUGGGGAGGGGGCAGGAAGUCCUCCCGGGUCAGAGCAUGCUGGGGGCCGGCCCCUCCCAAAGCCUCCAAAGACAGGCCCCAUCCAAGCCCCUGAGGCAGCGGGGUCAAGUGGCUUUUCCUCUGGGCCGGCUCUGCGCCCUCUCCUGGGGGGGCGAUGCCUCCCGGGCCCCCCCUCUCACCAGGCUUCCGUGGGGAUGGGCCGGCCAGCGGGCCCUGGAGGACCGCCUGGAGCAGAGCGCGGCGGCCAGGAAGCCCAAGAGCAGGACCAAGUUCUCCCCGGAGCAGCUGCGGGGCCUCCGGACCAUCUUUGCCGGCUCGCUGUACCUGACCCCCGAGAAGGGCCACCAGCUGGCCGCGCUUCUGGGGCUGAGCUACAAGCAGGUACGGCGGGACGUCUGAGGGCCCUGGAGGCCUGGCAUUGGGGGGAUGAGGCGGCCAGCAGGCC
This 1497-nucleotide long non-coding RNA is filed under the name Monodelphis domestica (gray short-tailed opossum). Its description in RNAcentral is "lncRNA (ENSMODG00000042655.1)". Lineage: Eukaryota; Metazoa; Chordata; Mammalia; Didelphimorphia; Didelphidae. The record is from RNAcentral.